UACUUGUCAUGGGCCUAGUUUCGUUACACCUGAACUAUGCUAGAACCGUGCGGCCUUAACGCUUUAACACUCUCAUCCCCAUGAGAUAGCAUUAAGUCGGCCUUACCCUCACAAUAAUUUAAUGAAUGAGGCUAAAUUAUAUGAUAACUUUGGUGGAGAAUGUAGAUAGAAAAAUUAUGAGGAAAAGAGCACAAACAUAUAUUUGAAGAAAAUUCUUUGUAUAAAUAUAAGAGAAA
Molecule: long non-coding RNA, 236 nt
Filed under: Olea europaea (common olive)
Lineage: Eukaryota; Viridiplantae; Streptophyta; Magnoliopsida; Lamiales; Oleaceae
Description: long non-coding RNA (OEUR_LNC012097)
Source: RNAcentral